ACCCCGGGGAGAGCUGAUCCCGGACAGGGGUUCCGAGGAGGUAAAGGAAGCUCCCUGGUGAAGUCCCGGGAUGCGACUGGAUCCGGAGUCCCCUACCGCAGCCCGCGCACGACCCUCGGAAGCCUGUCUCCGCGGCCCCCGACCCAGGUCCCCGCUGCCGCCGCGCUGCCAGGUAGCCAGAGGGUCGCAGGAGGAAGGAAGGGAGCGCGGGACGGGCGGAGGAGGGUGGAGCCACCGGCGCGUCCUCUCCCUCGGGCAGGCAGGCAGGCGGGCGGCGGGCUGGGGCGGCGGCAGAGAAGGCAGCGGGAGCGGGGAGACACCGGCCGCUAGCGCCGCUUCGCUCCUGCUCAGGCAGCGGCUUCGGCCCGACCCGCUCCGCCUCUGCCAGGCUCCGGCGCGCACCUGCCGGGUAGGUGGCGCCUGAGUCCCUGCAGCCGCGGCCACUUCCGUCACCUUCGUAGCCGCUGCGCGGAGCCUCCCGGCUUUGUUUGCGUCCAUCCGCCGGCUGCGACUCCCAGGCUCGGCUCUGAGGCUCCAUGGACUGCGCGCCGCGCCUGCAUGGCUCUGGGCUCGCCC
Long non-coding RNA from Homo sapiens (human), 576 nucleotides. Lineage: Eukaryota; Metazoa; Chordata; Mammalia; Primates; Hominidae. The record is from Ensembl.